UAUAUAGCUCCAAUUAGUGUAAACUGAUUGUAUAGUUUUUCAACCUUUCACAUCACAAUUGAAAUAAUUAAAAAUUGAUAAGAUUUUAAACAAAACCUGAUAAGCUUGUAAGACGUGAAUGGAAUAUUUUUAAAACCCUACGGACUGAUUUAAAUGCAAUCAACGAUGAGACAAGUGAAGAGCUGCAUUGCGGCGUGCUUUUUCUCCAUUUUCUCAAUCCCUCUUGCGUGAGAUUAAUUACAUUGUCAUGUUUACUUUACGUGCAUGGCGCCUUUAAACUGGAUUCCUUUAUACAUACGUCUCUCAGAUGAAAACAAAAGUGUAGUCUAAUCGCAGCUAAGCUACACUUGAAUUUGUACCAAGUUAUUCCAAGAAUCCGAUAUGCUUGACUUGGGGGCCUUCAACUCACAACCCUCUUGUUUGUUUCUUCGACAUGAAUCACAUGAUAUCUACUUCCAAAUUUCUUCUAUUCACUUUCAAUAAUUAAACUUCAUAAUUGAGCUUUCAAACUUGCUGCAACCCUUUGUGCAGAAGGCUGCCUUUUUACUUUAGAAGAAAAAAGCUGCCAAAGAUGAGCAACCUUUACUCAUUAAAAAAUUUGGAAAGUGUUAUACACACACAAUUACAUACAUAUGUGGUCUUACAACUUUUUCAUAUAACAUAAAUAUUGGAUUUGCAUGAGAGAAAUCAAAACUUAUCCAAAGUUAAAGUCGCCUUGUCAUACUGCUUUUCCUUUCUGCUGCAAUUUUGACUAUAUGUGUAUAUAUAUAUAU
Molecule: long non-coding RNA, 773 nt
Filed under: Gossypium raimondii (Peruvian cotton)
Lineage: Eukaryota; Viridiplantae; Streptophyta; Magnoliopsida; Malvales; Malvaceae
Description: long non-coding RNA (GRAI_LNC000492)
Source: RNAcentral